RNAcentral lists this ribosomal RNA (468 nucleotides) under uncultured bacterium. RNAcentral describes it as "partial 16S ribosomal RNA". It matches the Rfam family "Bacterial small subunit ribosomal RNA", at positions 28 to 507 of the family's 1533-position model. The record is from RNAcentral.
GACGAACGCUGGCGGCGUGCUUAACACAUGCAAGUCGAACGGAAAGGCCCUGCUUUUGUGGGGUUCUCGAGUGGCGAACGCGUGUGUAUCACGUGUGUAACCUCCCCUUGACUUUGGGAUAACUUCUGGAAACUUCGGCUAAUACCCGAUAUGAUCUCCUGCUGCUUGUUGGUCGUUGGUAAUUUUCGGCUGUUGGGGAUGGUCUCGCUGCUUAUGAGCUUCUUUGUGGGGUAGUGGCUUACCAAGGCUUUGACGGGUAGCCGGCCUGAGAGGGUGAACAGGGACAAGGGGACUAAGGUAGGGCCCAGAAGCGAACGGGAGGCAGCAGUGGGGAAUAUUACAGAAUGGGGGGAAGCGUGAUGCAAAAACGCCGGGUGCGGAAUGACGGCUUACGGGUUGUAAACAGCUUUGGAAUGAGACGAAGCGUGAGUGACGGUAAUGGGUAAAGAAGCACCGGCUAACUACGUG